This 348-nucleotide transfer-messenger RNA is filed under the name Anaerorhabdus furcosa. Its description in RNAcentral is "Standard tmRNA". It matches the Rfam family "transfer-messenger RNA". Rfam says of the family: Bacterial tmRNA, also known as 10Sa RNA or SsrA, is named for its dual tRNA and mRNA-like properties. Its role is to liberate the mRNA from a stalled ribosome. Lineage: Bacteria; Bacillati; Bacillota; Erysipelotrichia; Erysipelotrichales; Erysipelotrichaceae. The record is from Rfam by way of RNAcentral.
GGGGUUGUCAUGGUUUCGACAGGUUUAAGUUUGAUUUGAACUGCAGUGGAGUGGUGACCUAAUCACCAAACAAAAAUAACUGGAAAUAACAGAUUAUCAUUUGCUGCUUAAUCGCCUAAAUACUGGUCGCAGCAUCCUAUCUUAAAAUUGUCAUUAGUUUUAAUUUAGUGUAUUCAUAAUGAAUAAGGUGAAGUCUAGCUUGGUGAUGGAUCCUGACAAUUCUUACAAGCAAAUUCAAUCUUUGUUGGCUCGCUCCAUUUGAUUGUCUUACCAAUAGCGAGAUAAACUGUAGACGUUCAAAUGUGGGACUAUUCUUGGACAGGGGUUCGACUCCCCUCAGCUCCACCA